This is a long non-coding RNA of Brassica rapa (field mustard), 2193 nucleotides long. RefSeq lists it as uncharacterized. NCBI's taxonomy places the organism in Eukaryota, Viridiplantae, Streptophyta, Magnoliopsida, Brassicales, Brassicaceae. The record is from RefSeq and is a predicted model, not a curated record.
UAUUCUCCGACCACGGGAAGGGAAACCACCAUUGCUCGCCGGAGACCUGACUGUGACGCUUGAAGACGGGGUCGGAGUAGUCAGCGGCGACGUCACUUUCACAGAAAAUUCGAGCUGGACGAGAUGCAGGUUAGGUGCUAAAGUUAGACAACAAGGAGGAGUUGUGGAGGCCAUAAGUAGAGCGUUCGUGUGCAGAGAUCGUCCAAGAGGAGAGUGUACACGACAUGACCAAACACGGAGUUAAAGAAUCUCUUGAUGGAUCCCAAGACGAUGAGGCUCAAGAUUGCAGAUCUUGGUUUAGCCAGAGCCUUCACUCUCCCUAUGAAGAAGUAUAACCAUGAGAUAUUGACUCUAUGGUAUAGAGCUCCAGAAGUUCUUUUUGGUGCCACUCAUUACUCUACAGCUGUUGAUAUGUGGUCUGUUGGCUGCGUUUUUGGUACGUUUUACUCACUUCAAUAUCAAUCUUUACUUAUAAAAACUACAGAAACUAACGUUGUUUCUUUGACAUUGACAGCUGAGCUUGUGACCAACCAAGCGAUUCUUGCUGGGGACUCUGAGCUCCAUCACUCUCACUUAAACUUCUUAAUCAGACUUGAAAAAAUUCUUCGGUAACGUCUUCUUCCGAUGUUGUUGCGUAAUCAGCCUUCGACGCUCUCCGUCUCGGUAGAUCGUCGCAGUUCAUUGUUGCUUGGCUUCUCCGUUUCUGGGACUCGGAAAACAUCAAGAAGUAUGGUAAAUUCAUGGACUGUCUCUCAUCACACUGCAAGGAACUAUAUGAAGUCAAAGAAGGCAAAUAAGAGUUUGAUUUCAAGGUGGUCACCGAGACCGUUCCAAAAUGAGCGUGAUUAUGUCCCGUUGAGCUCUAUGGCUUGGCCAAAGACGAGUCUGAUUACGGAUGAUACACAACAAGCUUCAAGAUAGAUAACAGUGACCUUCGAGAAAGGAGGCAAGCCUACUGUUAGAGUUGCUAGCCUUGGCCACGCGUUGCAUGUCUGGCUCAAUUGAGAAUACCUUGGAUAGUGUGUCUUAUCUGGAGCAUAGAUUCACAUGUCACACGUAGUGUUUCCAUCUUAGGGUUGAGCUCUGGACCACUUGAUCUCACUGAGAAAAACAAAUGGGGAAACAAGGUGGGUAUUGAAGGCUAGAAGCUCUAUAUUCACACGAGAAAGGAUAGAAGAAGGUUAAGUGGCAGAAAUUCUCAUGAAAAGCACCAGGAUUUACCUGGUAUCAGGCAUGCGCCAGGAGUUUAGUAAUAUUAAGUUUUCUUUUUCCAUCUGAAGAAGAUUCUUUAACGAAAUAAGGAAAAUAAAUAAGUAUGUAUUCCUCUUAGUAUCACUAGACAUGAAAAUAAAAAAUUUGUGCUCACUUCACCACCACAGACUGCAUACUGGGAAAGUUGAUAACUCUGAAACAUCACAUGAGUGGUGCUAUAUCUCAUGCUCCAAGAGCUCCUGGAAACUGCGGCGUGGGCUUUCAUCUUUCGUGUGUGGAUCAUAUCAUGAUGAAAAAGCUGUUGGCAUUGUAAGUACCGGGUGGAGAUGGCAGUAUCAGAUGCAUCCGACUCUGCUCUGUUUGUGGCUUUCGAUGCUGAGAUGAACAAGCUGAUCAAUGUUCCUGCUGCAUGAGUGUCUCAAGGCAUGGGCACCAGCAUGGAGGAUGCACAUAACAUUGCUUUCCCACAGUGCCUCAGAGACAUACUGGGGAGGGCCUUAACAUUCCAGCAGAAACUUUCAAGGUUUAAUUUCUCAUCAAAGCAUCAGUCAUUCACCUUAACCAGAGCUUCCCCUUCCAGAUUUUGCAGAGCAGGAGCUAUAUAUAGAGAUACUUCUGAAGCUCUUUAAAGAGGUGCUCCAGUCAACAACGGCGGACCCAUUACUCAUGUCAUGGUGAAAGGCAAGAAACAGCCUCUAAACCUACCAAAAACCAUGUUCGCAAUGGUUAAGCUUCAGAUUACUGGAGCCUAAUGGAAUGUUGCAGACUUCCACAACUGCUUUUUGUCGUUUUCUUAAAAAAAAUCUUUAAUAAAUGUGUACUUGAGCUAUUUGGCUCUGUAUUUCAGAUGACUUAGAAAAGAGCCUCCUACAGUUAUUUAUGUGUACUUGAGCUAUUUGGCUAUGUAUUUCAAAUGACUUAUAAAAUAGACUCCUUCAACUAAUUUAUAUUUGCUUACACUUUUCAAGUGUAUUAAACGAA